GCCUCUAGCAACAAUAAGUAUUAGAGGUAAUGCCUGCCCAGUGACACUGUUAAACGGCCGCGGUAUCCUAACCGUGCAAAGGUAGCGUAAUCACUUGUCUUUUAAAUAAAGACUAGAAUGAAUGGCCAAACGAGGUUCCACCUGUCUCUUACAAACAAUCAGUGAAAUUGGUCUUCCCGUGCAAAAGCGGGAAUAACACUAUAAGACGAGAAGACCCUGUGGAACUUCAAAUAUAAAUCAACUAUUAUAUUUACCACCCUAAAGACUUAUAAUUAACUAGUUCUGAUCCAUAUUUUUGGUUGGGGUGACCUCGGAGUAAAACAAAACCUCCGAAAAAAGAACAUAUUUUCUUAACCUAGAUUUACAACUCAAAGCGCCAACGGCAAAAUGAUCCAAUAUAUUUGAUCAACGAACCAAGCUACCCCAGGGAUAACAGCGCAAUCCCAUCCUAGAGUUCCUAUCGACGAUGGGGUUUACGACCUCGAUGUUGGAUCAGGACAUCCUGAUGGUGCAACCGCUAUCAAGGGUUCGUUUGUUCAACGAUUAAUAGUCCUACGUGAU
RNAcentral lists this ribosomal RNA (561 nucleotides) under Caretta caretta (loggerhead turtle). RNAcentral's name for it is "partial 16S ribosomal RNA". It matches the Rfam family "Bacterial large subunit ribosomal RNA", at positions 1818 to 2604 of the family's 2925-position model. The record is from RNAcentral. Lineage: Eukaryota; Metazoa; Chordata; Testudines; Cheloniidae.